GUGAGGAAUUUUCCGCAAUGGGCGAAAGCCUGACGGAGCAAUGCCGCGUGAAGGAUGAAGGCCUAUGGGUUGUAAACUUCUUUUCUCAGAAAAGAAUUAUGACGGUAUCUGAGGAAUAAGCAUCGGCUAACUCUGUGCCAGCAGCCGCGGUAAGACAGAGGAUGCAAGCGUUAUCCGGAAUGAUUGGGCGUAAAGCGUCUGUAGGUUGUUUAAAAAGUAUUCUGUCAAAGAUUAGGGCUUAACCCUAGAUAGGCAGAAUAAACUUUUAAGCUAGAGUUUGGUAGAGGCAGAGGGAAUUCCCGGUGGAGCGGUGAAACGCGUAGAUAUCGGGAGGAACACCAAAGGCGAAGGCACUCUGCUGGGCCAAUACUAACACUGAGAGACGAAAGCGAGGGGAGCAAAUGGGAUUAGAAACCCCUGUAGUCC
This 426-nucleotide ribosomal RNA is filed under the name uncultured bacterium. RNAcentral describes it as "partial 16S ribosomal RNA". It matches the Rfam family "Bacterial small subunit ribosomal RNA", at positions 354 to 796 of the family's 1533-position model. The record is from RNAcentral.